GGUAAAAUGUUAAAUUUUAUACCAAUUUUAAAAUUUUUGACAGAAAUUACAGAGGAAACAAAGAGAACAGAGUAACCAAAAUCUAAAAACUAGGACUAAGUAACAACAGAAACCAAAAGAUGGACAUAAUCGACAAGAACACAUAUCUAAAGAUCUAGAGUCCUCAUCGUCGUUGCCACGAGCACCACCACCCAAGGCUGCCCUCAAAACCUCGAACACGGGUAGAGCCUACAGCUUCUCCGAAGACUAACACAAAAACGAAAAAACUUCAAACGAACAAGUUAUAACCAGCGGCACGGGAGCUUCUACGGGCAGUCAGAGAAGCCGCCUCCGACCACAUCCUCAAGCUAUAGUAGCCUCGAGAAUCAUCUCCCACGGAUGCAACAAAGUCGCCAAAGCCAAAUCGCCGCCUCUAUUCCACACUGUCACCACCAUCGCUUCAAUGGAACAAAUCAAAGCCGAAGAUGAACCACUUCUGAACCUGUGAAACCAAGCCAAAAACACAUACAACGCAAGAAACGGAAGGAGCCACACCGGAACUUAAAGAUCUGAGAAAUCUCUGAGAGUAAACACCAAAGGCGGAUCUCUGAAAUCCACCUCCGUUGAAGCACCACCACCAGUCGUCACCGGAGAGAGCUCUCGCAGAGGAGCCCAAACUCAACACUUCCGUCCUAACCGCACCAUGAAGGAGAGCAACACGCAUCAGAGACAGAUGCCACCUAACCGAGGUGAAACCGGAAGCCCUUUCCACCGCAUCUGACUGGUAGUGAGAGCAGUCCUCAAACCCUCAACAACCGAGAAAGAGCAGAGAGAGCAAGCGACGUCACCAUCUCAUCCCGCAAGAGGACAAGAGAUGAGACCAGCAGAGGAAGCAAAACCACCGAAGAAACGACGCCACACGUUCACACCGGCUAGAUCUGCUGCAACCACCACCGGGAAGUCUGACUCAAGUCCGAGAUCUCUCAUCUUCUCUACUAAAACUGAACAAGUAGAGAAGAAAGCCGAUGAAAGAAAUAAAGGAAAGGAAGCCUCUCCGGACGGAGGCACGGAGGCCAACCGCCGGAGAAACGGAACUUCAAAAAGCUUGAAACUUUUGUGGCGGCGGCUGGUUGGGAGAGAAAAAAAAUAGGGCGACCUCUUUU
Molecule: long non-coding RNA, 1142 nt
Organism: Brassica napus (rape)
Lineage: Eukaryota; Viridiplantae; Streptophyta; Magnoliopsida; Brassicales; Brassicaceae
Exons: 2
Source: RefSeq, a predicted model, not a curated record